GGGCCUGUGGUCUAGCGGCUAUGACAUCACCCUUACAAGGUGGAGGUCGCCAGUUCGAAUCUGGCCAGGCCCACCA
This 76-nucleotide transfer RNA is filed under the name Nanobdellota archaeon. RNAcentral describes it as "tRNA-Val". It matches the Rfam family "tRNA". Rfam says of the family: Transfer RNA (tRNA) molecules are approximately 80 nucleotides in length. The record is from RNAcentral. Lineage: Archaea; Nanobdellati; Nanobdellota.